This 71-nucleotide transfer RNA is filed under the name Marmota marmota marmota (Alpine marmot). It matches the Rfam family "tRNA". Rfam says of the family: Transfer RNA (tRNA) molecules are approximately 80 nucleotides in length. Their secondary structure includes four short double-helical elements and three loops (D, anti-codon, and T loops). Further hydrogen bonds mediate the characteristic L-shaped molecular structure. tRNAs have two regions of fundamental functional importance: the anti-codon, which is responsible for specific mRNA codon recognition, and the 3' end, to which the tRNAs corresponding amino acid is attached (by aminoacyl-tRNA synthetases). tRNAs cope with the degeneracy of the genetic code in two manners: having more than one tRNA (with a specific anti-codon) for a particular amino acid; and 'wobble' base-pairing, i.e. permitting non-standard base-pairing at the 3rd anti-codon position. RNAcentral also lists the same sequence under 1 other name. Lineage: Eukaryota; Metazoa; Chordata; Mammalia; Rodentia; Sciuridae. The record is from Rfam by way of RNAcentral.
GUGGCUGUGGCUCAGUGGUAGAGCACUCACCUGGCACAUGUGUGGCACUGGGUUUGAGUCUCAGCACCACG